Molecule: long non-coding RNA, 723 nt
Organism: Saccostrea echinata
Lineage: Eukaryota; Metazoa; Mollusca; Bivalvia; Ostreida; Ostreidae
Exons: 2
Source: RefSeq, a predicted model, not a curated record
UUUUCAAAAAUUUAAGGAAGAUCGAUGUGCGAGUUAAGACUAAGACGGAUUUUAGGAGUUUUGAUGACAAAGAAUCAACCAUUGGAAAUAUGGCUCUUUGAACUUGGAUCUCAUUGUUGAUGCAUGCAAGAUGGUGGGCUAAAGAAGAAAACCAGGACAAAAGAAAAUUCCUAGUGUUCAUCAGAAAAAAUAAUCAUGCAGCCAUUUUGAGUGCUUGAAUGUCCAACUGAGAGAGCCAGCCAGUUCAAAAAAUAUUUCUUGGAAGUUAAACAAAUUCUGCUGUGACAAUUGAAUUAAAGCUUUAAAAGUACAUUUAAAAACAUUCUGAUUCAUCUAUAAGUGAGACUAGAUUGCCUUUGACAGUUGCCAGUGGAAUUCAGAUCUUCUAAAUUGUACCAGUAUUAAUAAAUUGAAGUGAGUUGCCUUAAAAAUAACAUUUGUAUAUGGUGUACAUUACUUCAAGAAGAUAUAGCACACCUGUUUAAACAGUGAUGUCCAUAGCUAAACAUGGAUAUGGAAUUUAGCUCACCUGAUCCAAAGGCUCAAUUGCACAAUUCUGAUAAAAAGAAGUCUCUGGUAUCCAACAAUGCAACAUUUAUGUUUUGACUGUUUGUCCUCCAUUAACUUUUAACAUUUUCUUUUUUUUUCUAACAUUUGGUCAAUGUAAACCACAUUUGGUACAAUGUAUCUCUGCUUAAAAGGAAUAAAGCUUAUUCAAAUAAA